CCAGAUUUCAGUGGUGAUUUGAGCCGACCGGCUUGCGGCCACGUAAAAUAACACGCUAAAAGGUCGGAGUUCGCCCCGA
This 79-nucleotide non-coding RNA is filed under the name Oceanibaculum pacificum. The record is from RNAcentral. Lineage: Bacteria; Pseudomonadati; Pseudomonadota; Alphaproteobacteria; Rhodospirillales; Oceanibaculaceae.